Molecule: long non-coding RNA, 1040 nt
Organism: Carya illinoinensis
Lineage: Eukaryota; Viridiplantae; Streptophyta; Magnoliopsida; Fagales; Juglandaceae
Exons: 2
Source: RefSeq, a predicted model, not a curated record
CUUCAUAUUCAAAAUCAAUCUUCAAAACAUGUAAUUUUACAUAUGAAGAUAAAGAAACCAUAGUCAAUGCUCUUAGACGGUUGGACAUCAGAAGGGAUGAGAUGGGCGGAAUCAAUGCAAUGUCAAUGUGAUGAAUCAAUUCGAUGGAGAUCAUGGGAUGGAUCUAAGUGGUGGAGAGUAGCACUGUUCAUAUGGGCCGGGUAAAAAUCCGGUUAUACCGGAAUCCGGUUAUGGGUUUCGGCCCGGAAUAAACCCAGGUCGGAACCCGCAUCAUCAAACCCGGGCCCAUCCGGCCCGGAUACGGUUUGACAAACCGGGUACCGGGUUUUAACCCGAUACCCGAAUUUAAUAAAAUCCUUUAGAAACCCUAGCGCCCCCCCUCCCCCCAGCGGCUGAAACUCAGACUCUCUUUCUCUCUAUCUCUCUUGCGCCCCCCCUCCCCCGAAUCUCACUCAUCUCUCUCUCUCUCACUCUCAGAAAUAGCAUUCAAGAACAACAUCCUUUCUCUUUUUUCUUAGAUGGCCACGAAGUUCUUCUCUCGGGGCUCGCCGAAGGUAUUAUUUCCGUUUUCUUCAUCCUAUUUCUUGGGCUCGAAGGUCUUCUCUCCCCCUCUCUCUCUAUCACAAACGAAACCCUAGCCAGUGGCCACAAAGGUUUGUUCUCUACAAUUUGGUUCUGUUUUAUUCCGAUUUGGGUCUGUGUAGCUUUUGUUCUCUGCUACGGAUUGUGUAGCUUUUGUUUAGGUCAGAUUUGUUGCAUCCUUCUUCACAUCUUUUAGGGUUUUUUUCUUUUAUUACUUUUUUGAUUUGGGUCUGUUGUGAUGAGAAUGUACACUCUCUCACCGAUGGCUUGUGGAAGCUCAGCUUUGACAUCCAUAUGCCAUAUGACAUCCAUCCGAGCCUUCUAGACCCGCCAAAGUCCAGUAACUUCAUGUGUACGAGUUCAACAAGCGCGAUAGUGGAAGCCCUGACUACCUACGAUUGAGGCAUAAAUCGGUCAAUGCCCUCAGCAAUGUAGUCCCUUUCAGUAACAAGGUAAUU